Molecule: ribosomal RNA, 870 nt
Filed under: Mycolicibacterium sp.
Lineage: Bacteria; Bacillati; Actinomycetota; Actinomycetes; Mycobacteriales; Mycobacteriaceae
Description: bacterial SSU rRNA
Rfam family: Bacterial small subunit ribosomal RNA
Source: RNAcentral
GAAAGGCCCUUCGGGGUGCUCGAGUGGCGAACGGGUGAGUAACACGUGGGUGAUCUGCCCUGCACUUUGGGAUAAGCCUGGGAAACUGGGUCUAAUACCGAAUAUGAUCGCUGGCUUCAUGGCUGGUGGUGGAAAGCUUUUGCGGUGUGGGAUGGGCCCGCGGCCUAUCAGCUUGUUGGUGGGGUAAUGGCCUACCAAGGCGACGACGGGUAGCCGGCCUGAGAGGGUGUCCGGCCACACUGGGACUGAGAUACGGCCCAGACUCCUACGGGAGGCAGCAGUGGGGAAUAUUGCACAAUGGGCGCAAGCCUGAUGCAGCGACGCCGCGUGAGGGAUGACGGCCUUCGGGUUGUAAACCUCUUUCGCCAGGGACGAAGCGCAAGUGACGGUACCUGGAGAAGAAGCACCGGCCAACUACGUGCCAGCAGCCGCGGUAAUACGUAGGGUGCGAGCGUUGUCCGGAAUUACUGGGCGUAAAGAGCUCGUAGGUGGUUUGUCGCGUUGUUCGUGAAAACUCACAGCUUAACUGUGGGCGUGCGGGCGAUACGGGCAGACUGGAGUACUGCAGGGGAGACUGGAAUUCCUGGUGUAGCGGUGGAAUGCGCAGAUAUCAGGAGGAACACCGGUGGCGAAGGCGGGUCUCUGGGCAGUAACUGACGCUGAGGAGCGAAAGCGUGGGGAGCGAACAGGAUUAGAUACCCUGGUAGUCCACGCCGUAAACGGUGGGUACUAGGUGUGGGUUUCCUUCCUUGGGAUCCGUGCCGUAGCUAACGCAUUAAGUACCCCGCCUGGGGAGUACGGCCGCAAGGCUAAAACUCAAAGGAAUUGACGGGGGCCCGCACAAGCGGCGGAGCAUGUGGAUUAAUUCGA